Molecule: ribosomal RNA, 1491 nt
Filed under: Mogibacterium diversum
Lineage: Bacteria; Bacillati; Bacillota; Clostridia; Peptostreptococcales; Anaerovoracaceae
Description: partial 23S ribosomal RNA
Rfam family: Bacterial large subunit ribosomal RNA
Source: RNAcentral
AACCCCGGGAGGGGAGGGAAAUAGAACCUGAAACCCUACACUUACAAGCUGUGGGAGCGCAUUAUUCGCGUGACCGCGUACUUUUUGUAGAACGGGCCAACGAGUUACGUUAUGUGGCAAGGUUAAGCACUUAAGGUGUGGAGCCGAAGCGAAAGCGAGUCUUAACUGGGCGCCAUAGUCACAUGACGUAGACCCGAAACCGGGCGACCUACCCAUGAGCAGGAUGAAGCGAAAGUAAAAUUUCGUGGAGGUCCGAACCCACGUACGUUGAAAAGUGCGGGGAUGACUUGUGGGUAGCGGUGAAAUGCCAAUCGAACACGGAGAUAGCUGGUUCUCCCCGAAAUAGCUUUAGGGCUAGCCUCGAGGUUGAGAGUAUAGGCGGUAGAGCACUGAUCGGGCUAGGGGCCAUACCGGUUACCGAACCUAGUCAAACUACGAAUGGCUAUACUUAUACUCGGGAGUCAGACAGUGAAUGAUAAGGUCCAUUGUCAAGAGGGAAACAGCCCAGAACACCGACUAAGGUCCCAAAUGUUACACUAAGUGGCGAAGGAUGUGGAAUUUCCAAAACAACCAGGAUGUUGGCUUAGAAGCAGCCACCAUUUAAAGAGUGCGUAAUAGCUCACUGGUCGAGAGACUCUGCGCCGAAAAUGUCCGGGGCUAAAGUGUAAAACCGAAGUCGUGUCAUAUGCAGCAAUGUAUAUGGGUAGGGGAGCGUUCUCAUCGGGUUGAAGCAGUACCGUAAGGAGUUGUGGACUGAUGAGAAGUGAGAAUGUCGGUAUGAGUAGCGAAAAGAAUGGUGAGAAUCCAUUCCACCGAAAGCCUAAGGGUUCCUGAGCAACGAUCGUCGUCUCAGGGUAAGUCGGGACCUAAGCCGAGGCGGAAAAGCGUAGGCGAUGGACAACAGGUUGAAAUUCCUGUACCGGUGUGAAUCGUUUGAUCGAUGGAGUGACACAGUAAGGUAGGUCAGCACGCGAUUGGAAGUGCGUGUUUAAGCAUGUAGGUUGAGUUAUAGGCAAAUCCGUAGCUCUAAAAGCUGAGAUGUGAUGACGAGCUGUUUACAGCGAAGUGAUUGAUCCUACACUGUCGAGAAAAGCUUCUAGGUAGAGACACAUCGCCCGUACCAAAACCGACACAGGUAGGCGGGGAGAGAAUCCUAAGGUGCGCGGGAAAACCCUCGUUAAGGAACUCGGCAAAAUGCCUCCGUAACUUCGGGAAAAGGAGGACUCAUGUAGUGUGAAGUGCAGCAACGCAUGGAGCAUGAAUGAGUGGCACAAGAGAGGCGCAAGCGACUGUUUACCACAAACACAGGUGCCUGCUAAAGCGAAAGCUGAUGUAUAGGGGCUGACACCUGCCCGGUGCUGGAAGGUUAAGAGGAGAGCUUAGAUGUAUGUCGACGGUUUGAAUUGAAGCCCCAGUAAACGGCGGCCGUAACUAUAACGGUCCUAAGGUAGCGAAAUUCCUUGUCGGGUAAGUUCCGACCUGCACGAAUGG